RNAcentral lists this ribosomal RNA (253 nucleotides) under uncultured bacterium. RNAcentral's name for it is "partial 16S ribosomal RNA". It matches the Rfam family "Bacterial small subunit ribosomal RNA", at positions 524 to 776 of the family's 1533-position model. The record is from RNAcentral.
UACGUAGGGGGCAAGCGUUGUUCGGAAUUACUGGGCGUAAAGGGCGCGUAGGCGGCACAGCAAGUCGGGAGUGAAAGCCCGGGGCUCAACCCCGGAACUGCUUUCGAAACUGUUGUGCUAGAGUGCAGAAGGGGCAAUCGGAAUUCUUGGUGUAGCGGUGAAAUGCGUAGAUAUCAAGAGGAACACCUGAGGUGAAGACGGGUUGCUGGGCUGACACUGACGCUGAGGCGCGAAAGCCAGGGGAGCAAACGGG